Hordeum vulgare subsp. vulgare (domesticated barley) is the source of this 749-nucleotide long non-coding RNA. RefSeq lists it as uncharacterized. The transcript is spliced from 2 exons. The record is from RefSeq and is a predicted model, not a curated record. NCBI's taxonomy places the organism in Eukaryota, Viridiplantae, Streptophyta, Magnoliopsida, Poales, Poaceae.
AACACCACCGUGGCUGCUCAAUCCGCUCCAGACGGUGGCAGAGCUUAAGACUUUGGCAGAGCUAAUAGAAUGCCAAGGAAGCCCUGCAGGGAAGACCGGAGCGAUAAAACGGACGCCCGCGACGAGACAAAGCCAGGCGAACGAGACAAUUUAUAUGGUCGGCUGGUCCUCACUAUGACGCGCAAAACGCACCAGCCCUGGCCCGUGUCACCCACCAUCUUUACAAGAAGAUACAAGUACAUACUGUACAAGCGACGGACUGAUGCGUAUGCCAUACUUGGCAAACGGCUGUAAAUGUACAGCGCUACGGCCGCGAACGGCUUGCAGGAUGCACACGCUGGCGUGCAAACAAUUUGAUGCAUGUUUUUUUGUGAACAGUGUCAUUGGGCUUUGUUGGCAUUUUCCCUGUCUCCAUUCACUCGGGACAUGAUUUGUAGUACCAGACUACAGUUGAAUCCCUUCCAGAUGUAUUUUUGGCACCAGGAUAACCAGAACAUCCAACGUUGGUUCAAGUUUGAACUAGAUGACGGGGCAGAAGAUGAACCAACCAAGUGUAAAAGGUUACAAGUGAUGGUAAACAAGAUUCAAUAAUGCAAAGCUCCAAAGCAACUCGCUGCUAAAGGUCUAAAACAUCUUUAUGAACGCAAAUACACAACCGCACAUGCAAAGUCCAUUGUGAAGACUCUAUUUCGAAGACGAGUCAAGUUCAAGCAAACCAUCAGAACAUCACACGAUAGUAACAACCUUUG